AUGAUCAAACAAGGGGCAUCGUUUCCUACUAAUAUCCAUCCGAGAGAGACACAGGGGCAGGUAUCCCUCAGCAUCCAUCAGAAACAAAGCGCAAAUCUGGUGGCGGAGGAGAGCCCGGAGCUGCUGAACCCUGAGCCCAGAAGACUGAGCCCAGAGUCGAGGCUGCUGCCCUAUGUGAUCAGGCUGGGCGACGCCGUGCACAGCUUCGCCGCUGGGCUGGCUGCGGCGCCGCCUUCGCGUCCUCUUGGAAGACCGGGUUGGCCACCUCGCUGGCCGUGUUCUGCCACGAGUUGCCUCACGGGCUGGGGAACUUCGCGGCCUUGCUGCACGCGGGGCUGUCCAUGCGCCAAGCGCUGCUGCUGAACCUGGCCUUCACGCUCACGGCCUUCGCUAGUCUCUAUGUGGCACUCGGCGAUCGGAGUCGGCGAGGAGAGCGAGGCCUGGAGCAAUUCAGGGUCACAGUGGAGCAGUGGAGGUCACAGUGGAGGAGGCCUGGAUCCUGGCGGUUGCCAUGGGCCUGUUCCUCUACCUGGGGCUCUGCGACAGGCUCCCGGUCAUGUUGAAAGUGCGGGACCCGCGGUAAUGGCUCUUCUUCCUGCUGUACAACGUGGGCCUGCUGGGCGGCUGGACUGUCCUGCUGCUGCUGUCCCUGUACGAGGAUGACAUCACCCUCUGAUACCCUGCUCUAGUCCCCGGCCUUUGACUCAAGACUCUACACCCAAACAUACAGCCCAGAAACCAGAAGCCCCUAUAGAGUUUCCAGUUCCAACUCCAAUAAAAACACUCAUCCUUG
This is a non-coding RNA of Callithrix jacchus (white-tufted-ear marmoset), 793 nucleotides long. The record is from RefSeq and is a predicted model, not a curated record. NCBI's taxonomy places the organism in Eukaryota, Metazoa, Chordata, Mammalia, Primates, Cebidae.